AUGAAGUUCGAUGAGGAUAAUCUAUUUAAAGUAACUCCUAACAUAGUAAAGUUCUUGAUUAAUAAAGAUCAGCCUAACGCUAAGCAAUAUCUAAAGGGUUGCCUACCAAGUAGCUUACCUAUGCUUAAGAUGUUUGGUAUCUAUACGCUUGAGGCUAUCAUGAUUCAUGUACUAGGCUUGGUAUUCAACACUCUUCAGGAAUCAUCCACAGUUAAGGCAGCUAGAUUUAUAGAUCAACUUAAUUCAACUGUACGAGAACAAGCAAGGUUUCUACAAUACAAAGCACCAGGUAGUGGUAAGGUGGAAGCAGUACUCACUAGUAAGGUAGAAUCAGUUAAGGAUGUUGUUCAGCCCAAAGGUGCUAGCAAAAAAGAGAAAAAGAAAAAAAUGCAGUGUCAUUAUGAUAUCGGGAAAUACUUGCUCCAAUUCAUGACUGAAAGAAAUGUUCUACAUAUAUCAAUAGACAGGGGAGUAACAAAAGAAGAUCCAGUGCUGGUUCUUAAGAAAGGUCAAGGGUAUAUAGAGAAUUCUUGUUAUGUUAUGUGCAAUUUGAACAUAAAUCUGCUUCCUAUCAAACUCAAUCUUCCGAUGCUUUGCAAACCCUUGGAUUGGCAACCAGCAGAGAGGGGGUCUGAUCCUGAUACAUUAUCGGAUCUGAUAGGAGGUUACUUAUGCAAACCCACGGGGGAUAUCUAG
RNAcentral lists this ribosomal RNA (696 nucleotides) under Triticum aestivum (bread wheat). RNAcentral's name for it is "partial small subunit ribosomal RNA". Lineage: Eukaryota; Viridiplantae; Streptophyta; Magnoliopsida; Poales; Poaceae. The record is from RNAcentral.